AUGGUAUCAGGCACACAGAGGGAGCUCUUCUCCAUGGGUGCGAUGAACAAUGAUCAUGAUCCCCGUUCCACACUGUCACCAGCUAGCAAGAUGAAGCAUUCUGUCACGGUUAGGCCGAAGGCUAUGCUUAGCGUCGUUCUUGCUAGAGAUGGUUUACCCGAGGUGAAUUACAAGACCUGCGCAUCUUACCGUGGCCGUGUGGUGGCUACUGCUAUCUUCUGGCCAUCACAGUCGCGUUCGUCUGCAGCGGCAGAGCAUAUGAUGAUCAAUGGCAACCCAGCUGUGGAUGCCAAUGGGACAUGCAAAAUGCUGCUCCUCGGUGCUUGGAGCAUCUUCAAGCCACCAUGGAUAUUGAAUUUGGCUGCCCUCAAAGCAGAAAAUUUAGACCGAGAUGAAGUACCUGUCAGGCAGUGUCGAUGA
This 420-nucleotide ribosomal RNA is filed under the name Triticum aestivum (bread wheat). RNAcentral describes it as "partial small subunit ribosomal RNA". The record is from RNAcentral. Lineage: Eukaryota; Viridiplantae; Streptophyta; Magnoliopsida; Poales; Poaceae.